UUCUUUAAACAAUAUCUUCUCUUCUCUGUCUUUCUUCUCCUGAAGGGUAGAAGAGGUUUGGAGGCCUCUUUUUUGGUUAAUAUACUCAUUAUAGUACACAUCACUAGCUGCUGGAAGAGAGUUUGAAGCAAAGAAUUUGGAUUCUCCAAUGAGGAGAAUGAUGAUGAGGUUGCCAAUUAUGAAAAUAAACUUGGGACUGAGGAAAACAGAACUGAAUUUUGGAAGAGAGACAAAGAGAGAGAGCUUGGUGGAAGAAAAUAGGGAGGGGAACCAAAAGGGGCUAGAACAGAAAAGACUGCAAGUUAACAGUGUCACAUACCGGAAAAAAUUGUGAAGGACUUGAUGCAUCUUUGACCUCUUAAUUGCGUGUACCUUUCGGAGUUGGAUCAGAUCCAUUUUAGUUGUAUAUUUGAUUUUGAGGAGGUGUAAGCAGGGGUUUGAGAUCUGGUUUGUAAUUUCAC
Molecule: unclassified non-coding RNA, 461 nt
Filed under: Hevea brasiliensis (rubber tree)
Lineage: Eukaryota; Viridiplantae; Streptophyta; Magnoliopsida; Malpighiales; Euphorbiaceae
Source: RNAcentral